RNAcentral lists this long non-coding RNA (211 nucleotides) under Capsella rubella. RNAcentral's name for it is "long non-coding RNA (CRUB_LNC001337)". Lineage: Eukaryota; Viridiplantae; Streptophyta; Magnoliopsida; Brassicales; Brassicaceae. The record is from RNAcentral.
UUUUUUGUUGAAGUUUAUUUGUUCACAUGUACGUUAAAAUGAAAAUUUUUUGUUCAUGUAAUUUAAGUAUGCAGUGAGUAAUAUUUGACGCACAAAUUCAUUUUAAUUUACAUUAGCAGAAAAGUACAUUUUUUUUUGUUUUUCUGUUGUAUGUAAUAAAAUCCAAAUUUGCUUUGCCUCGACAAAAUAUCAGAGCAAGUUAUUAUUAUUU